AGAGUUUGAUCAUGGCUCAGAUUGAACGCUGGCGGAAUGCUUUACACAUGCAAGUCGAACGGGCUUAAGGGGCUUGCUCCUUAAGUUAGUGGCGAACGGGUGAGUAAUAUAUCGGAACGUAUCCAAUAGUGGGGGAUAACGAGUCGAAAGAUUCGCUAAUACCGCAUACGCCCUGAGGGGGAAAGUGGGGGACCGCAAGGCCUCACGCUAAUGGAGCGGUCGAUAUCUGAUUAGCUAGUUGGUGAGGUAAAGGCUCACCAAGGCGACGAUCAGUAGCUGGUCUGAGAGGACGACCAGCCACACUGGAACUGAGACACGGUCCAGACUCCUACGGGAGGCAGCAGUGGGGAAUUUUGGACAAUGGGCGAAAGCCUGAUCCAGCCAUUCCGCGUGAGUGAAGAAGGCCUUCGGGUUGUAAAGCUCUUUCGCAAGGGAAGAAAGAUUACUUUUUAAUAAAGAGUGAUUAUGACGGUACCUUGAUAAGAAGCACCGGCUAACUACGUGCCAGCAGCCGCGGUAAUACGUAGGGUGCGAGCGUUAAUCGGAAUUACUGGGCGUAAAGCGAGCGCAGGCGGUUCUGCAGGUCAGAUGUGAAAUCCCCGGGCUCAACCUGGGAACUGCGUUUGAAACUACAGAGCUAGAGUAUAGGAGAGGGAGGUAGAAUUCCACGUGUAGCAGUGAAAUGCGUAGAGAUGUGGAG
RNAcentral lists this ribosomal RNA (700 nucleotides) under uncultured bacterium. Its description in RNAcentral is "bacterial SSU rRNA". It matches the Rfam family "Bacterial small subunit ribosomal RNA", at positions 8 to 703 of the family's 1533-position model. The record is from RNAcentral.